CUCAGUUCUAAGUUGGGACUGCAAAAAUUUGAGGAUUUCCCCACAUAGACCUGAAGUUUCUGAUUCUAGCAUUUCUCUUCUGUAAGCAACAUGGCAAACCCGGUUUCAAAGUAAAGACCUGAGGAAGAAUGUAGAUUGAUCACUGUGAUUUCAAGUCCUUCAGAGCUGGAGCUGUUAAGACUUGAGACAGAUAUAUACAGGG
This is a long non-coding RNA of Triticum dicoccoides, 202 nucleotides long. RefSeq lists it as uncharacterized. Lineage: Eukaryota; Viridiplantae; Streptophyta; Magnoliopsida; Poales; Poaceae. The transcript is spliced from 3 exons. The record is from RefSeq and is a predicted model, not a curated record.